CAGCAGCCGCGGGAAUACAGAGGGUGCGAGCGUUAAUCGGAUUUACUGGGCGUAAAGCGUGCGUAGGCGGCUUCUUAAGUCGGAUGUGAAAUCCCUGAGCUUAACUUAGGAAUUGCAUUCGAUACUGGGAAGCUAGAGUAUGGGAGAGGAUGGUAGAAUUCCAGGUGUAGCGGUGAAAUGCGUAGAGAUCUGGAGGAAUACCGAUGGCGAAGGCAGCCAUUUGGCCUAAUACUGACGCUGAGGUACGAAAGCAUGGGGAGCAAACAGGAUUAGAUACCCCCGUAGUCCCUGUCUCUUAUAA
This 301-nucleotide ribosomal RNA is filed under the name uncultured bacterium. Its description in RNAcentral is "partial 16S ribosomal RNA". It matches the Rfam family "Bacterial small subunit ribosomal RNA", at positions 509 to 809 of the family's 1533-position model. The record is from RNAcentral.